CAAAGGCCUCCCACCUUUGCACAUCUAUUGGAUGAAUAUUGAAUUAGAACACAUUGAACAAGAUGAAAGAGUAUACAUGAGCCAAAAGGGAGAUCUGUAUUUUGCAAAUGUGGAAGAAAAAGACAGUCGAAAUGAUUACUGUUGCUUUGCUGCAUUUCCAAAAUUAAGGACGAUUGUACAAAAAAUGCCAAUGAAACUAACUGUGAACAGUUGUAAGUCCAGAUAAUUUAUUCUUCCUUCACUCAUGCUGAAUGCAAAUACGUGCAUAAUUUUAUUCUUCUCUCUGAAGACAUUUAAAGCCAAGUUGGUAUUUCCCGUCAUUGUUUCCUUUAACUCCAGAGACUUUAUAAAGAUGAUCUAGACAUCUGCAGCUGCAAAUCCACAGUAGCGCUGUCUCUGGCAGCCAGAAAAUCAAAUCUCAAUUCACAGUACAAAUGUGUUUCAUUUGAUGUCUGCAGGAUCUACUCAUUUUCACUGAGCAUAAAGCACAUCUCAGGCGUGGGCUCACCGUGACCUUGGAUAAAUCAGCAGGCUGAAAAUGAAGGAGACAAAAAUUGAGUCAAAAAAAUUCACCAUUUAUAUUUU
RNAcentral lists this long non-coding RNA (585 nucleotides) under Cricetulus griseus (Chinese hamster). RNAcentral describes it as "lncRNA (ENSCGRG00000025851.1)". Lineage: Eukaryota; Metazoa; Chordata; Mammalia; Rodentia; Cricetidae. The record is from RNAcentral.